Molecule: long non-coding RNA, 563 nt
Filed under: Homo sapiens (human)
Lineage: Eukaryota; Metazoa; Chordata; Mammalia; Primates; Hominidae
Description: HSALNT0350272
Source: RNAcentral
AUGCCGUCGCCCAGGAGCCCGUAGCCGAGGCCUGCUGCCAGGAUCUGGGUGGUCAUGGCCACCCAGGUGACCACGCCGCUGUACUGCAGCUCUGUGACCUUGGCCAUGUCACUUAACUUCCCUCCGCUUCAAUGUCUUCAUCUACAAACCAGGAAUAAUAGUAUAUAUCACAAAAUGUAUCUAAGAUACAAAUGAGACACUGUGAAGUCCUUGGCACAGACUUAUAAAAGAAGUAGAACACACAUGCUUCCCAUUAGGUGAGAAAGAAACAUGCCUGAGAGUCUAAUGGAUUACUCAAGUCUGUGCUGCCAAGGAAGAACAGAAUCUUUAGAUAUCAUGUGUUUUACAAAUUGAAGUUUGUGGAAACCCUGCAUCAAACAAGUCUAUUGGUGACAUUUUCCCAACAGCAUUUGCUCACUUUGUGUUUCUGUGUCACAUGUUGAUAAUUCUUACAAUAUUUGAAACCUUUUUUAUUAUUAUACAUGUUCUGGUGAUCUGUGAUCAGUGAUCUUUGAUGUUACUACUGUAAUUUUUUUGGAUGCUGUGAACUGUGCCCAUAUAAA